UUAGUACACACCCACCACCAGCUGUCUCUGCACUGGUUAAAUUCCUCUUACACCCAGAAACAAAAUUUGGAAUUGAACUUGUCCUCAAGGACGUGUGAAUUGUAUUAGCAUCCAAGUGAAAGUAAAAAGGUCCAUGUGCUGGUUGAAGAGCAAACAGUAAGCCUGAUAACUGAAGCUGGUUUUCUGUUACUUGUAAAUCAAGGAGUCCUAAAACAAAAAAUGGAUGUCACAAAAUAUUGACCGCAGCCUACCUGUUUUUAUACUGGUCAACAUCGCUGUGGAAGACAUUUAUGGUACCAUCUCAUACUUCGCUGCUACCCAAGUGGGAACACUACAUCUGGUUUGAAAAUGAGAAUCGGUGAACCUCUCUAGACUCCGAAGCAAGGUGCUUACCACAUUUAUACAAAAGGAAACAGAAAUUCAACGUCUUGGAAAUCUCAAAUUAUCUUCAAAAU
Long non-coding RNA from Canis lupus familiaris (dog), 455 nucleotides. RefSeq lists it as uncharacterized. NCBI's taxonomy places the organism in Eukaryota, Metazoa, Chordata, Mammalia, Carnivora, Canidae. The record is from RefSeq and is a predicted model, not a curated record. The transcript is spliced from 4 exons.